RNAcentral lists this ribosomal RNA (506 nucleotides) under uncultured Entrophospora. Its description in RNAcentral is "SSU rRNA". It matches the Rfam family "Eukaryotic small subunit ribosomal RNA", at positions 569 to 1073 of the family's 1831-position model. Lineage: Eukaryota; Fungi; Glomeromycota; Glomeromycetes; Entrophosporales; Entrophosporaceae. The record is from RNAcentral.
AGCAGCCGCGGUAAUUCCAGCUCCAAUAGCGUAUAUUAAAGUUGUUGCAGUUAAAAAGCUCGUAGUUGAAUUUCGGGAUUGGCGCAUCGGUCGUGCCUCACGGGGUAUGAACUGGUGCAGUCAAUUUCUCACCUUCUGGAGAACCGCGAUGUCCUUAAUUGGAUGCCGCGGGGAACCAGGACCUUUACUUUGAAAAAUUAGAGUGUUUAAAGCAGGCAUUUUUGCUUGAAUACAUUAGCAUGGAAUAAUAAAAUAGGACGGCAUGGUUCUAUUUUGUUGGUUUCUAGGACCACCGUAAUGAUUAAUCGGGAUAGUUGGGGGCAUUAGUAUUCAAUUGUCAGAGGUGAAAUUCUUGGAUUUAUUGAAGACUAACUACUGCGAAAGCAUUUGCCAAGGAUGUUUUCAUUAAUCAAGAACGAAAGUUAGGGGAUCGAAGACGAUCAGAUACCGUCGUAGUCUUAACCAUAAACUAUGCCGACUAGGAAUCAGACGAUGUUAAUUUUAAU